RNAcentral lists this long non-coding RNA (516 nucleotides) under Vigna radiata. RNAcentral describes it as "long non-coding RNA (VRAD_LNC003971)". The record is from RNAcentral. Lineage: Eukaryota; Viridiplantae; Streptophyta; Magnoliopsida; Fabales; Fabaceae.
UCAGAUAUAUUUUUUGUUCAGAUCAUUAGGGGUUCAACCCUUUCCCCUCCAUUCAACAAUCACAAUUCGCCUUCUCCAGAAGGUCCCUCGCCAUUGCUCACGGGGCUGCCUCUCUCGAGCUCGCGUACACCACCGCCUCUGUCCGACGACCACCGUGCCACCGCCUUCAGUCGGUCCUGCCGGACGCAAACCACGGCGUAGCCAGCAACGCUGCUCGCCAGCAACAUCAUCUGCCAUCGGAGCCACCCUUUCGAACCUAGCCAUCACGCCAACCUCCACAUCGCCGGCGACACCCAACAUCACCGGAGCUACCGCCGCAAGCCGCCGUCCACUAUCCUCUCGUAUCAUCACCGUGCCGCCAUCGCUUUUGCUCGUUCAAGCCGCCGAAUGCAACAAAACAUCCUCCAUGUGGUUGUCUGUUGUAGACGAUUGGGGGUUUCAGGGAUGGACUUCUGCGUUGAUCUGUUGCAACGAGAGAGAGGCCACUCCUUUCUCGGCGUGAGUGAUUUUAGUUCA